AAUGAUAUGCUACAGGAAAAACAUGGAAAUCACUUCAUGGGAGAUACCGCACGUGACCACUUGUAUAUGCUAUGAUUCAACCAGCCAUUUAUAACCAGAACCCAAUAUGCAUCACAGCUGACGAUACCUGCUGGAAGGGAAAGUAUCAAGAGGCCUUCUGACUAGUGCUGCCUAAACCUCUUCGCUACCAAGGUUGCACUUGACGAUGUUAAACUUGCAUAGUGGACAUGUCGCGAUUAUGUGAAGUCACUUCUCUAUGCAGGUGCAGUGGAAAUGAUGAUUACAGGGGAGUUCUCGCAGCUCAACACCAUCUUCAUACGGGCAUAGGCAGAUGCAACACUCCUGUAUUGACAAGUAUAAAUGUUGAUCAGGACAUAUUAUAAUGACAGUUUGGUGUUUGGCAGAUUUGAGUGGGCCAGGGUGUGCCCACGUUAAGUUGCUCCAUGGGGCCUCCAAUAUUUUCCUAGUGUCUGUAGGGAACAUGCACACAUUUUCAUGCGUACGGUCUACGGUGGCACCGCUGUGGUGUGUGUGGGCUAUGUGUCCCCUUUUGUACUGUUUAUCAUUACCAUUCUACUCCCUCCGUUUCUAAAUAUUUGUCUUUCUAGACAUUUCAACAAGUAACUACAUACGGAGCAAAAUGAGUGAAUCUACACUCUAAAAUAUGUCUACAUACAUCCGUAUGUGGUAGUCAUUUGAAAUGUUUAGAAAGACAAAUAUUUAGGAACGGAGGGAGUAGUACUUAAUUGCAUAGCCUCCUCUAACUGGAAAAACUACCAUGUUAGUUAUAGCUCUGGGCAGAUUAAGGGCCAUUGGAUGGAUAUAUUCAUGCAAGCCUAAAAAAACGGUUAACUUGGAACCCAAGUUGUUGCCUAUAAUAUGAUGAGUAAAUUAAUCAUGAAAAUAUUUCCACAAUACUAGCAAUAACCAUAUUGACAUUGACAUUAAAAAGUAAUAGUCAUUCUGUAGUGACUGGAGGGAAUACAGGAUCAGUUUACUGAAAUUACCCUAAAUCCUUGUAACAAACUUAAUUCUAAAAGGCAUUUCUAGUACGUUAUGAUGUGACCAUGGAUCAUGAGUAACUUAGGAUGAGAAUAGUAAUAAGAUUGAUAAAUUAUAUUAAAAAAAUUCUAUUCAAGAACUUACAGCAUCCUCAGCUGAAAGAAUGUGCUCAAUGGGAGGGUCGGUGCCACACUCGGUCGUUACUCCACAAACCGGUGCUGCAAUUCCAGCAACCAGCUUGUCUGCAUCACCCAUUGUCCGAAACAUGUAUUUUGAUAGGAUAUUAAUAUCCUCCUCGGAUGCUCCUUCCUGCU
This 1316-nucleotide long non-coding RNA is filed under the name Triticum aestivum (bread wheat). RNAcentral's name for it is "long non-coding RNA (TAES_LNC024022)". The record is from RNAcentral. Lineage: Eukaryota; Viridiplantae; Streptophyta; Magnoliopsida; Poales; Poaceae.